CGACUUGAUGGACAUGAGUUUGAGUAAACUCUGGGAGUUGGUGAUGGACGGGGAGGCAUGGCAUGCUGCGGUCCAUUGGGUCGCAAAGAGUCAGACACGACUGAGUGACUGAACUGAGCUGAAGCAGACAACACACAAACCUGGGAGGAGCCACAAUGUUUAAGAAAUUCUACUCAUCGGUCUUCUUUAUUUGAGCUAUAUUUUUAUGUCACCCAGACAUGAAUGUCAUUGUUUGGUGACCCUUUUUUUCUUUUUCUUCCUUUUUCUUUCCCUCUGACCAGUGUUCUUUCUGCAGUACAAAUGUUGGAAAUAAAUGCGGGGUUGCCGAGUUAAUCUUAGUGAGAAUCUUUAUUUUGAGCUGGUGGCCAGGGUAGUUCCCCCUCCCCACUGGGAGAGAACCAGAGUGAGUCUUUUUCUUUGAGCCACAUGGCCCGAAGCAUGAGAGUGGAAACACUCGUGGUUUGUAAAGUCUUUUAUGACACAAACCAAUGUAUCUCUCGCUUACCUGCUUCUUGCAAGACAGACAGGGAAUGACAAAAUCACCAUCCUGGGAACAAACGAAGUGAAUCAUAAUACUUGAAAGUUAUUUAACUUUUGCUGUGUGAACAGGGAUGCACGUGUCUACACGUUUAUAUUUUGUGGAGGCUCUGUCCUCUCGUUUCUCCUAGAACAGGCCUUUAUUUUUAAUUGCAGUAACUUGACACGUAACACUAUAUUAGGUUCAGGUGUGGAACACAGUGAUUUGAUACCUGUUUAUUGUGAAAUGAUCACCCCAAUAAGCCUAGUUAACAUCUGCCUCUACACAUUUGUGUGUUAGUCACUCAGUCAUGUCAGACUCUUUGCAACCUGGUAGACUGUAGCCCGCCAGGCUCCCACGUCCAUGCGAUUCUCCAGGCAAGGAUACUGGAGUGGGUUGCCAUUCCUUCUCCAGGGUACCUUCCCGACCCAGGCAUCGAAACCAGGUCUCCUGUAUUGUAGGCGGAUUCUUAACCACCUGAGCUACCAGGGUCUCCACACAAAGUUUUACGGUGAGAACUUAUAGGAUCUAGUCUCUCAGCAGCAUUCAAACACGCAUACAGUCUUACUAACCCCAGUCACCGUGAUGCACAUUCCACCCCCGGGACUUUUUCUCUUAUAACAGGAAAUUUGGAUCUUUUGACCACCAUCAUCCAUGUUGCACAGCCCUUAAGCCCCAGUCUGGCAACCACCAGCCUUUCUAUGUAUCUAUGAGGCUGAGAUCUUUGUUUAGAUUCCACAUAGAAAUGAGGUCAUAUGCUAUGUGUCUUUAGCUGUCUGACUUAUUGGGUUGGCCACAAAGUUUGCUCAGGUUUUGGCCAACCCAGUAUUUCACGUAUCACAAUGGCCUCAAUUCCAUCCACGUUUCAAAUGGUAAGGUUUACUUCCUUUUUUAUGGCUGAAUAAUAUUCUGUUGUACAUACAUACUGCAUCUUCUGUGUCCAUUCAUCCACUGAUGGACAUUCAGAUUGCUUCUGUAUCUCAGCUGUUGUAAUUAAUGCUGCCGUGAACCUGACGUAAUGGAUGGGGCAUAGUUGAUUAGAAUAGAUUCAUAGGGCUUAUGUAGAUCAAUCAGUACUAUGGAUCCACCAUAGUCACCAAUACUUUAAUUUUAUCCUAAUGACUAUGUUAAACGCUUACAUAUGACUGACUUUUUGUUGUUCAGUCACUAAGUCAUGUAUGACUCUUUGCAACCCCAUGGACUGCAGCAUGCUAUUCUUCCCUGUCCUUCACCAUCUCCCAGAGUUUGUUCAAACUCAUGUCCCCUGAGCUGGUGAUGCCAUCCAGCCAUCUCAUCCUCUGUCGUCCCCUUUUCUUCCUGCCUUCAAUCUUUCCAAGCAUCAGUGACCCCACAAGAGACUGAGGCAGACUUGUCUGUGAGCGCUGGGAGUCUCUGGUGGAGGCAUGGAUUGACGGUGGCCCUCCGCGGGCUGAGGGGCUCUGGCAGCAGCAGUCCUGGGAGGCAUGGAGUGCUGGCACAAGUCCUCUUGGAGGAGGUCACCGUUAGCCCUACCAUGGAGUGAACCAUAUGGUAGGCCUGCCAUGGAGGCUGCAGACGCCAGGACAGGGCCGCCUCAGGCCAAACUACAGGGAGGGACACAGCCCCAGCCGUCAGUAGAAAACUGGAUUAAAGAUUUACUCACUGGAGCAAGACCUGGUUUUCCCCACAGCCAGUCCUUCCGAUCAGAAAGCUUCCAUAAGCCCUCUCACUCUCAUCCAUCAGAGGGCAGAUAGAAGAUGCAAGAAUUGCAGUCCCACGGCUUCCAGAACAAAACCCAGAAUCAACCAGGUAUCAGGAUCUGUUCCGGCACCUUAAAUGACUUAGUCCCCACAAAGCCCCUUCUGGUAGGUCUGAUUCCUUCCCUCCCCAUUUUACAGAUGAGGAAACUGAGGUGUAGAAGGAGUGAAGAACCAGCUCCCGCUCCCACAGCCGCACCUGGCAGAGCAGCUGCUGCUGGACCAGCAGUUCCUGGCCCCUCAGGGCGUCAGGAGUCAGUGACCCAGCAGGAAGGGUGGACCAUCUGCUGAUCUGGACCCUCUGCUGAUCUGUGGGACCGGGACUGCGAUCCCUGCAGGCGAUUCUCCAAUCCUGCCUGAGGGAUAGCCGUGCAGCUGCUCACAACUCAGUCUUCUUUCUACCCGGAUGACCACGCGUGGGAAGACUGGCUUCCCAAGAGGAUGACUUCCAUCUUGCUCUCUCUGGCUCUUCUUGUCUCUUGCUUUGAGGAAAACAUCUGUCAUGUUGGAAGAGCCUGGGUGGCAGGAACCUGAGUGUAGCCUGCGAUCCACAGCCCAGGAGGAAAUGAAUCCUUCCAGCAAUCACCCUGCUUCCUGCUCUUGGAGAUCUUCUCAACCUCUUGGAUAUUGUCUGGCUGUUUCUCUAGGGUGCACGUAGGUGAACACCCACAUGUGUAUGUGUAAGUAUGUCUGUUGCACAGGUGAGUCAGAAUGUGUGUUCAUGCAUGGGUCUAUAUAUGUAUGAGUGGUGUGCACAUGUAUGUGUGUGUGUGUCUGCUAUCUGCUCCACUGGAACUGGGAAGGACUAAGUUCAUCACCCUUUCAAAGCCUGAGGUGUUUAUACAGGCUCUAGCACAAGGGGCUUGAUUUUUUUAAGGCUUAAUUUUGUCCCAUGGAAAAAGGAAAAAGUAGAACCAAGCUGACAGGGGAUGAGAUGGUUGGAUGGCAUCACCAGCUCGAUGGACAUGAGUUUGAGCAAACUCUGGGAGAUGGUUAAGGACAGGGAAGCCUGGGUGCUGCAGUCCAUGGGGUUGCAAAGAGUCAGACAGGGACUGAGUGACUGAACAACAAAGAACCAAGCUGAAGAUGCGUUAGUGGUGUGGGCAUCUGGCUGGGCCCAAGACAGCAGCAGACCUGCCUGGCUGGCCUUGGCCCCUGCUGCCUGGAGCACUGACCUUAACGGCAGGGCUGAGAGGCCACCCGGGGCCUCUCCAAUGGAGGCGCUGCUGUUUUCAGGCUGGAGGCCGCGCCGUGCUCUCGCCUGCGCGGGGCUGACCCACUUCUGCGGAGGGAUCACCAGGUGGGCCUGCGCUAGCUGUUUCCUCUCCUGCGGCUUCUUAUUCUUGCCCGGCACACCGGAUGGCUGUGCCGCUUCUGAUCCCCGUGAUCAUCGAAGUUAGCCUGUGUGUGUGGUGUGUGCACGCAUGCAAAUGUACUACUGUUCUUUUGUUUUCGUAUUGGAGCCUUGCCAGGUACCCAUGUGUAGUCCGUGGGGUCUGGGGGGCAGGGGAGGGCGGCUGUCUGUUCCGCCACAGGGUCAUGACCACUGCCCGUCCCCUGCCCCCCCUGCCUCCCAUCCUGGUAAUGAUGCCACAGUCUGCCAGGCACCUGGGAGGGGACUCUCCCCUUGGGCAGGCUGUUGGGGGCGUGGAGCCUGGAACCGCCCUGCAGACUCCUCUCUCGUGUGUGUGUGCAGAAGAGGCGUGGAGAGCUGGCUGGGACCAGAGGGGUCACCCCCCGCCCCCGGAACUAGGUUGUGGGGAAGAUGGGGGUGGGUCUGGUGGCUUUGGAGAAGGUCACCAGCAUCUCCUUGGCUGAUGAGACGGAUUGGAUGAAGAUCAGGCUGGAUGAGAUGUGGUCUACGUGUGGCUGUCGGAUUGAUCAGUCGAGUGUCGCCCCAGCUUUACCGCAAUAACCUAUCUGAAAGACCACCCGAUGAUAUUCAGCAGGAGAAGGCGAGCCCACUGCACUUCCAUGGGAUUCUACUCGGAAACUGGUAGGCACCGACCGCAGCCCAUCCAGUUUCAGUUCCUGCCUGUGAGCUUAUUUUGAGUCUUAUUUACAUCAUAAUUUGAAAAAAAAAUUCGUUACCAGUUUUGAGGAAAAAGUAAAGGAAGUUAGAAAGCUCCCUUCUGGUCUUUCCAAGUCACCCGUUGGGAUUCCCUGGUGGCUCAGCUGGUAAAGAAUUCAGCUGCAAUGCAGGAGACCUAGGUUCAGUCCCUGGGUUGGGAAGAUCCCCUGGAGAAGGGAAAGGCUACCCACUCCAGUAUUCUGGCCUGGAGAAUCCCAUGGACUGUAUAGUCCAUGGGGUAGCAAAGAGUCGGACACGACUGAGCGACUUUCAUUUUCACUUUCAAGUCACCUGUUGGUCAUAGCGUUUUGGGCAAAUGUAGGUGAAGUCAAACAGGUUCUGCUUCUUUGUCCCUGUUGACCUGAUGCGUUGAUGCCUAAUAUAGAGUACUUGUAGUACGUUCCUUGGAUGGACCAUCUGUGGCGGAUUCAUUUUGAUAUUUGGCAAAACUAAUACAAUUAUGUAAAGUUUAAAAAUAAAAUUAAAUUAAAAAAAAAAUAAAAACACCUAGUUUGUCUACCUCAACUGGGACUCUAGACAGGAUUGUAUGGAAUAGUCUGAUUUGAUGGUUAAAAUACUGGAUUAAUGGCUUCCCAGGUGGUGCUAGUGUUAAAGAACCUGUCUGCCAAUGCAGGAGACUGAAGAGACAUGGGUUCCAUCCCUGGGUUGGGAAGAUCCCUGUAGAAGGGAACAGCUACCCAUUCCAGUAUUCUUGCUUGCAGAAUCCCAUGGACAGAGGAUUCUGGUGGGCUAUAAUCCAUGGGGUCACAGAGAGUUGGAUAUGACUGAGGCGACUGAGCAUGCAUGCUGGAUUAGGGUAUGAUUUGUACGACUAGAAUUUUUUUUGAUGUGAACCAUUUUGAAAGUCUUUCUUGAAUUUGUUACAAUAUUGUUUCUGUUUUUUUAUAUUUUGAGUUUUUAGUUGCAAGGAAUGUGGGGAUCUUAGCUACCUGACCAGUUGUCCACCCUGCACCACCUGCAUUGGAAGGUGAAGUCUUAACCCCUGGGCCACCAGGGAAGUCCCGCAUGUGACUGGCUUCACCUGGAGAGGCGGAACUGAAACUCCUGGGCCACAAAGGAGACCCUUACGCAGUGGCUCCAACCCCUCACGUGCCCCUUUGGCACGUGGGAUCGAACCUGCAGCCCCUGCUAGAGAAAGUGUUAACCACUGGACAGCCAGGUAAGUCCCCCCAUACCCCUCUUCGAUUAAACUUUCUAACGCCCCGAUAAUCACACCACUUUACAAGCUUCUCCUCAGGUGUUCUGCCCACUUACCCUUUCUUGGAAACAUGGAAGCCCAGCUGCUUUUUCCCUCCUUAUUUGUCUUUUUGUCCAAGCCUGUGUUUCCUCCCACUGCCCUGCUGCAGGUCCCUCCCUGAUUCCCCCAGAGCCUCUCUCUGCAGCUGAGAGUCACCCAUCAUCUCUUAGGGAGACUGCCAUCUCUGUUGACCCAGGGGCUGUUUAAUUUCCCUUGGUUCAAUCGUUCAAUUUUUUUUUAAAAAGUUAAAAUGGAUGUUGUGACUCUUGCGCUGAUGGAGGGCGGACGGUCAUGGCCAGGAAGCCUUUGGUUCUUGAGCCUCUGAUUCCUGGAGCUGGACUCAUGAGUGUGAUGCUGGCACCUCUCAGUCAGGAGCGUAAGGAGGCACUGGGGUUUCCAUCACAGAUGACGUGGCUGCCAGUGACGUUUGUCACCAAAACUGCUUGCCUCUUUCACCGGGGGCCUGGAGAUGGCCAGGAGGUGGUGAGGGGCAGAGAAACGGGUCAGACUUUCUGUUGAUAAGGAAAACCUCACAGCUUUUGACAGGAGUUAUUACGGGAUGCUUACUAACAAGGUACAAAUGAAACUUACUUUUUGUUUUUUAAAAUAAGAUGUUACCUUUAGAUUUAAAAUACAAUUUAAACAUUUUAAAAUUUAAUAUGUGCAUUUUACUUUUGCUUGUUUUAUUUAUUUAUUGCAGUAUAGUUGAUGUCAUGGUCCGUGUGUGGGUUGGAAAAGAAUUUCCAGACAUGAGGCAAGAUGAGAGGAGAAUAAAGUUUAUUAGCAUGGGAGAUGCUGCUAGAACAGCAGCCUGGCUAAAAGGAGAGCUGACCCGUUUCUCAGGCUAGUAGCUGAUUUUUAUAGCCUGGAGACAGAGGAAGUUCCUACUGGAAUGGUGGCGAUAGUUGAUUGGUUAAGAUGCUAUAGGGGUGGGUACUAGGGUUGUUGAAGGAAGGGGGACCCCUUCUAGGCCCCAAGAGUGGGCUCCAGUCAAACACUCGGGAAUGAAUUGUCCGAGGAGACACAUGAGCUGACGAAGCAAGAGACGGUUGGGAAGGGGCUCCAGGGGUGAGUAGCAGGCUAAAGGAACCUAGCAGGCCAGCUCUGCCAUGGGGCUCGCAGUUUCAGGUUUUAAGGUGAUGGGGUUAGUUUCCGGAUUGUCUCUGGCCAAUCACUUUGACAGAAUCCUUCCUGGUGGCACACGCAUUGCUCAGCCGAGAUGGAUUUCAACAAGAAGGCUUCUGGGAGGGGAUCAGACACGUGAUGUCUCCUUUUGAGCUUUCCUGAACUCUUCUGGUUGCUAAUGGUUUAUUAGUUCUGUGCUCUUUGCCAGGACUUCCUGUGUAAAAUAACUCACACAAAUGGUUACUAUGCUGCCUGGCCAGGGUGGGCAGUUUCAGUCAGUAUGUUUCUCCGAACAGGUGGGUAUUUUACCUAAUAUGGGGAUCGGGGAACUGGCCAGUUUAGAUCUGGAGGCUCGUGGUAACAGUUGCUAUGGGGCUUGGACAGUUCCAGAUUUUUUGCCCUGUGACCUUGGCUCCACACCUGUGACCUUGGAAUAGGGCUCCACAGUGGAUGUAUAAUAUUAUAUAAGUUACAGGUGUGUAAUACAGCACUUCACAAUUUUUAAAGGUUACACUUCAUUUAUAGUUAUAAAAUAUUUGCUGUAUUUCCUACAUUGUACAAUAUAUCC
Bubalus bubalis (water buffalo) is the source of this 7275-nucleotide long non-coding RNA. RefSeq lists it as uncharacterized. The transcript has 5 exons. NCBI's taxonomy places the organism in Eukaryota, Metazoa, Chordata, Mammalia, Artiodactyla, Bovidae. The record is from RefSeq and is a predicted model, not a curated record.